Molecule: ribosomal RNA, 292 nt
Filed under: uncultured bacterium
Lineage: Bacteria
Description: partial 16S ribosomal RNA
Rfam family: Bacterial small subunit ribosomal RNA
Source: RNAcentral
GUGUCAGCAGCCGCGGUAACACGGGGGGAGCAAGCGUUGUUCGGAAUCACUGGGCGUAAAGGGCGUUCAGGCGGCCAAGUAAGUGGGACGUGAAAUCCCCCGGCUUACCCGGGGACCUGCGUCUCAUACUGCUAGGCUUGAGUAUGGGAGAGGAUGAGGGAAUUCCUGGUGUAGCGGUGAAAUGCGUAGAUAUCAGGAGGAACACCGGUGGCGAAAGCGCUCAUCUGGCCCAAUACUGACGCUAACGCGCGAAAGCUAGGGGAGCAAACGGGAUUAGAUACCCUCGUAGUCC